UGCGUAGGUGGCAAGCGUUGUCCGGAAUUAUUGGGCGUAAAGCGCGCGCAGGCGGUCCUUUAAGUCUGAUGUGAAAGCCCACGGCUCAACCGUGGAGGGUCAUUGGAAACUGGGGGACUUGAGUGCAGAAGAGGAGAGUGGAAUUCCACGUGUAGCGGUGAAAUGCGUAGAGAUGUGGAGGAACACCAGUGGCGAAGGCGACUCUCUGGUCUGUAACUGACGCUGAGGCGCGAAAGCGUGGGGAGCAAACAGG
Molecule: ribosomal RNA, 253 nt
Filed under: uncultured bacterium
Lineage: Bacteria
Description: partial 16S ribosomal RNA
Rfam family: Bacterial small subunit ribosomal RNA
Source: RNAcentral